This 460-nucleotide ribosomal RNA is filed under the name uncultured bacterium. Its description in RNAcentral is "bacterial SSU rRNA". It matches the Rfam family "Bacterial small subunit ribosomal RNA", at positions 339 to 796 of the family's 1533-position model. The record is from RNAcentral.
CUACGGGAGGCAGCAGUGGGGAAUCUUGGACAAUGGGCGCAAGCCUGAUCCAGCCAUCCCGCGUGAAGGACGACGGCCCUAUGGGUUGUAAACUUCUUUUGUACAGGGAUAAACCUAUUUACGUGUAAAUAGCUGAAGGUACUGUACGAAUAAGCACCGGCUAACUCCGUGCCAGCAGCCGCGGUAAUACGGAGGGUGCAAGCGUUAUCCGGAUUUAUUGGGUUUAAAGGGUCCGUAGGCGGAUCUGUAAGUCAGUGGUGAAAUCUCACAGCUUAACUGUGAAACUGCCAUUGAUACUGCAGGUCUUGAGUAAGGUAGAAGUGGCUGGAAUAAGUAGUGUAGCGGUGAAAUGCAUAGAUAUUACUUAGAACACCAAUUGCGAAGGCAGGUCACUAUGUCUUAACUGACGCUGAUGGACGAAAGCGUGGGGAGCGAACAGGAUUAGAAACCCGUGUAGUCC